AGAACGAACGCUGGCGGCAGGCUUAACACAUGCAAGUCGAGCGCCCACUUCGGUGGGAGCGGCAGACGGGUGAGUAACGCGUGGGAAUCUACCCAUCUCUACGGAACAACUCCGGGAAACUGGAGCUAAUACCGUAUACGCCCCCCUUUAGAGAUAUUGGGCGGGAAAGAUUUAUCGGGGAUGGAUGAGCCCGCGUUGGAUUAGCUAGUUGGUGGGGUAAAGGCCUACCAAGGCGACGAUCCAUAGCUGGUCUGAGAGGAUGAUCAGCCACACUGGGACUGAGACACGGCCCAGACUCCUACGGGAGGCAGCAGUGGGGAAUAUUGGACAAGUGGGCGCAAGCCUGAUCCAGCCAUGCCGCGUGAGUGAUGAAGGCCCUAGGGUUGUAAAGCUCUUUCGCCGAUGAAGAUAAUGACGGUAGUCGGAGAAAGAACGCCCCGGACUAACUUCGUA
RNAcentral lists this ribosomal RNA (453 nucleotides) under uncultured soil bacterium. RNAcentral's name for it is "bacterial SSU rRNA". It matches the Rfam family "Bacterial small subunit ribosomal RNA", at positions 26 to 507 of the family's 1533-position model. The record is from RNAcentral.